Protopterus annectens (West African lungfish) is the source of this 83-nucleotide long non-coding RNA. RefSeq lists it as uncharacterized. The record is from RefSeq and is a predicted model, not a curated record. NCBI's taxonomy places the organism in Eukaryota, Metazoa, Chordata, Ceratodontiformes, Protopteridae. The transcript is spliced from 3 exons.
AUAUUCUCAGUUUGUCUGGGGAACUGCUUGCUGCCAAAGUUGUUCAGCAUUGGAUACUUCAGAUCCUUGUUUAUGUUCUGAUG